UGGAGAACUUCCAGAAGAUGAAUGAAGGCCGUUACUACUGUUUCAAUGGAACAGGGAAAAAAUCUGCAGUGAAACUGGAAAUACGGCUGGGUAUACCAUGGGAUACCACGCCUGUGUACAGAAUCAGCAGGACCGGCUCGUUGCAUCUCUUUUGUGAACCUCAAUUAAGAGCAAGGCUUCAGGGCUUUUGGAGCUGGAGACAGACUGUGUCUGAAGGAGACUGCAAACGGUCUGGCUCAGACCUGGAGCACUUUGGAAAUCGAUCUGAAGUAAAGAAUGGGUCCGACAACAAAUUUUCACUGAGCAUCUCCCCUCUGCUCUGGAAUGACUCUGGACAAUACCGAUGCAUUCUUUGUAAUGGCAGCAAACCUUACAGGCAAUGCACUUAUGAAAUAAUUACAGUGAAAGUGUACUCCGAGCCCGUGGAGCUGACUGAGGGAGAGAAUGGCUCCCUGGUCUGUGCCGUUUCACACCUGAAGGACUCCACCAGACUGCUGUGGAUCGACACGCGGAGUCACCAGACGUUCUCC
Molecule: long non-coding RNA, 530 nt
Organism: Anguilla anguilla (European eel)
Lineage: Eukaryota; Metazoa; Chordata; Actinopteri; Anguilliformes; Anguillidae
Exons: 3
Source: RefSeq, a predicted model, not a curated record